This 996-nucleotide long non-coding RNA is filed under the name Struthio camelus australis. RNAcentral describes it as "lncRNA (ENSSCUG00000012080.1)". Lineage: Eukaryota; Metazoa; Chordata; Aves; Struthioniformes; Struthionidae. The record is from RNAcentral.
AUGGACGCACUGCUGCUGAUACACACUGUCUCCUGUGUUUCUCGCUUCUUGCCGUUCCUCUUGGCUUUCCCAGUGGUACUCCUUGUUUUGGGCUUCCUAAUUGUGGCAUUCACAACCCUGGCUAUUGUGCUCCAGUCCCCUGAUCCCACCCUUAGCCCCCUGAAGAGCUGGAAGCCGCGAUGGAGGAGCCUGGGAGAGCCACACGUCCCACCGGAAUACGUGUUAGUUAAAGACAGCCUUCAGUUCUGUCCCGUGCUUGGUCCACGUGGUUCUGGAGAAGGUGCAGGCCUUGGCGAGAAAGGAGCUGCCCGGAAUGCAGAAGAGCAUUUUGCGCUGAGAGAUCUGGAGGAUUUCAGCGUUCGCACCAUGUAUGAUAAGCUAGAAGACCAGAAUUUACACCUAGCCUCUCAGCUGGCAAAGCACAGGAUGGAUGUGUUGGUGUUUUACAAAGGAGUCAGCCAGCAGCUUCGAGGUCUCAUGGAUAUGGUGCAAGCACUGGAUUCUGAAGGCCUGAAUAACUUUGCCAGGCAAAGAGUUUGUGGACACAGAACUUCAGACAGCCUGGGCGCUGAAAAACGUGAUGACUCUAGCAACAACUUUCAAGCAGUAAUGCACACAGGUGCUCAGUGGCAAGAGGCUACAGAGUUAAUGAAAGCAUUGAAAUUCCUGCUUGGGAGAGCUCAGCCUAAGAACGCAACUGUGAAACGAGAGAUGGAGGAGCAGGUCCCAGGACAGGAUGUGGUGGCGGGGUCCACGCGAACGAGUGAAGGAAAAGCAGAAGUGAUGGAUGGGCAGGAUCCUGACCUGCCUCCACAGUGUGAGCUCUGCAGUAGGAAACCUACUUUUUUUAGCUUCCCUGGGCACGAAGAGACUGGUAAGGAUGGUAAUUUAAUUAUGGGUGGCAUGGAUACUCUCCAGAAACCACAGCAGAAGACUGACUCGGUGAAGCUUAGGUUAAGAGAGAAUCGUAUGUUUGCAGACAGAGUAAGCAUGUAA